CUUCAAAAGCAUGGCGACCAAUGUUCUAAACUUCAUUGGCCUCUAACCCUUUUGACCUCAAAUCAGGUAGGACUACCCGCUGAACUUAAGCAUAUCAAUAAGCGGAGGAAAAGAAACCAACCGGGAUUGCCUCAGUAACGGCGAGUGAAGCGGCAAAAGCUCAAAUUUGGAAUCUGGCGCCCUCGGCGUCCGAGUUGUAAUUUGAAGACUCUAUCUUGGGAGGCGGCGCUGUCGAAGUUCCUUGGAACAGGACGUCACAGAGGGUGAGAAUCCCGUGCGAUGGCAGCCGCGGACCGUGUAAGUUAGUGUCGACGAGUCGAGUUGUUUGGGAAUGCAGCUCUAAGUGGGUGGUAAACUCCAUCUAAAGCUAAAUAUUGGCGAGAGACCGAUAGCGAACAAGUACAGUGAUGGAAAGAUGAAAAGAACUUUGAAAAGAGAGUGAAAAAGUACGUGAAAUUGUUGAAAGGGAAGGGCUUGAGAUCAGACAUGCCUUCGGGCAGGCCAGCAUCAGCUGGAAGGGGCAGACAAGGGCGCCGCAAUGUGGCCUGGCUUCGGCUAGGUGUUAUAGGCGGCGUCGAUGUGUCCACUUCCGGCUGAGGACCGCGCUUCGGCAAGGAUGCUGGCGUAAUGAUCCCCAGCCGCCCGUCUUGAAACACGGACCAAGGAGUCUAACGUCUAUGCGAGUGUUUGGGUGUAAAACCCGUACGCGGAAUGAAAGUGAACGCAGGUGGGGGCCCCUCGGGGUGCACCAUCGACCGAUCCUGAAGUGUUCGG
RNAcentral lists this ribosomal RNA (774 nucleotides) under Isabelozyma heimii. RNAcentral describes it as "LSU rRNA". It matches the Rfam family "Eukaryotic large subunit ribosomal RNA", at positions 1 to 783 of the family's 3401-position model. The record is from RNAcentral. Lineage: Eukaryota; Fungi; Ascomycota; Pichiomycetes; Serinales; Metschnikowiaceae.